UGUGUGUGUGUGUGUGUGUGUUUGUUUUUCCCAUCAGCCUCAUCAUAUUCACAGACUCUCCCACUUCUGUGACUUUCCCUAUGGAUACCUGGUAUUUAUAAUCACCGAAGAUGGAAAGCAUCUAUUUGUUUUUGUUGAAGGCAGUGUCGUGCUAGCAUCAUCUCAACAACACCGCAAAGAAGUAAAACGCACAUAAAGGACACCACCAAUUUCCC
RNAcentral lists this long non-coding RNA (215 nucleotides) under Sinocyclocheilus grahami. RNAcentral describes it as "lncRNA (ENSSGRG00000053090.1)". The record is from RNAcentral. Lineage: Eukaryota; Metazoa; Chordata; Actinopteri; Cypriniformes; Cyprinidae.